GAGCGAACGCGGAACAGCCUAAACCAGGGGGCUUGCCUCCUGGGGUUGUGGGACGUCUCACAUGGAGUUACAAAGGAAUAUGGUAGGUGAAGAGGUCUGGAAAGGCCCGCGAUAGAGGUAAAAGCCCUGUAACCUAAACUGUGUUCUCUCCGAGACGGAUCCCGAGUAGUGCGGGGCACGUGAAACCCCGUAUGAAUCUGGCAGGACCAUCUGUCAAGGCUAAAUACUACCUGGCGACCGAUA
RNAcentral lists this ribosomal RNA (243 nucleotides) under Paenibacillus agri. RNAcentral describes it as "Bacterial large subunit ribosomal RNA". It matches the Rfam family "Bacterial large subunit ribosomal RNA", at positions 251 to 489 of the family's 2925-position model. The record is from Rfam by way of RNAcentral. Lineage: Bacteria; Bacillati; Bacillota; Bacilli; Caryophanales; Paenibacillaceae.